This is a non-coding RNA of Salmo salar (Atlantic salmon), 55 nucleotides long. The record is from Rfam. Lineage: Eukaryota; Metazoa; Chordata; Actinopteri; Salmoniformes; Salmonidae.
AGAUCUUAUAAAUCUAAUGUCGCUCUGGAUAAGAGCGUCUGCUAAAUGACUUAAA